Molecule: ribosomal RNA, 764 nt
Filed under: uncultured bacterium
Lineage: Bacteria
Description: bacterial SSU rRNA
Rfam family: Bacterial small subunit ribosomal RNA
Source: RNAcentral
GUGGCGAACGGGUGAGUAAUACGUGGGCAACCUGCCUUCGAGUGGGGGAUAACCCCUUUAACGAGGGGCUAAUACCGCAUAACACGGCUUUUUCGCAUGGAAUUGUCGUCAAAGGUGGCCUCUGCUUGCAAGCUACCACUUGAAGAUGGGCCCGCGGUCCAUUAGCUUGUUGGUGAGGUAACGGCUCACCAAGGCGAUGAUGGAUAGCCGGCCUGAGAGGGUGAUCGGCCACACUGGAACUGAGACAAGGUCCAGUCCCUUACGGGGGCCAGCAGUCUAGAAAUUUGGGCAAUGGGGGAAACCCUGACCCAGCGACGCCNUGUGGAGGACGAAGCCCUUAGGGGUGUAAACUCCUGUCAGGGGGGAAGAACGUGAAGAGGCGAAUAGCCUUUUCAUCUGACGGUACCCUCAGAGGAAGCUCCGGCUGACUUCGUGCCAGCAGCCGCGGUAAUACGAAGGGAGCAAGCGUUGUUCGGAUUUACUGGGCGUAAAGGGCGUGUAGGCGGAUCGAUAAGUUGAACGUGAAAACUGCGGGCUCAACCUGCAGAUUGCGUUCAAAACUGUCGAUCUUGAGUCCAGGAGAGGAAAGCGGAAUCGACAGUGUAGCGGUGAAAUGUGUAGAUAUUGUCGAGAACACCCGGUGGCGAAGGCGGCUUUCUGGCCUGGUACUGACGCUGAGAACGCGAAAGCUAGGGGAGCGAACGGGAUUAGAUACCCCGGGUAGUCCUAGCCGUAAACGAUGGGGCACUAGGUGGUUGGGAGGU